AGAGUUUGAUCAUGGCUCAGGACGAACGCUGGCGGUAUGCUUAAGACAUGCAAGUCGCACGGGCCCGCAAGGGUCAGUGGCGGACGGGUGAGUAACACGUGGAUAACCUGCCUGACUCCCCGGGAUAACAGGCCGAAAGGCCUGCUAAUACCGGGUAAGCUCACGGGGCCGCAUGGUCCUGGGAGAAAAGGCCCUGCAAGGGGUUGGGGUCAGAGGGGUCCGCGGUCCAUUAGCUAGUUGGAGGGGUAACGGCCCACCAAGGCGACGAUGGAUAGCCGGCCUGAGAGGGCGACCGGCCACACUGGGACUGAGACACGGCCCAGACUCCUACGGGAGGCAGCAGUCGGGAAUUUUGGGCAAUGGCCGAAAGGGCUGACCCAGCAAUACCGCGUGAGUGAAGAAGGCCUUCGGGUUGUAAAGCUCUGUUGCUCGUGAAGAACGGUACUGUGAGGAAAUGCGCAGUACUUGACGGUAGCGAGUGAGGAAGCCCCGGCUAACUACGUGCCAGCAGCCGCGGUAAUACGUAGGGGGCGAGCGUUGUCCGGAUUUAUUGGGCGUAAAGGGCGUGUAGGCGGCCUGUUAAGUCGGGAGUGAAACUCCGCAGCUCAACUGCGGACCUGCUUCCGAUACUGGCGGGCUUGAGUACUCUAGAGGGCAGUGGAAUUCCCGGUGUAGCAGUGAAAUGCGUAGAGAUCGGGAGGAACACCAGUGGCGAAGGCGGCUGCCUGGGGAGAAACUGACGCUGAGGCGCGAAAGCUGGGGGAGCAAACGGGAUUAGAUACCCCGGUAGUCCCAGCCGUAAACGAUGAGUGCUAGGUGUAGGGGGUAUCGACCCCUCCUGUGCCGCAGUUAACGCAAUAAGCACUCCGCCUGGGGAGUACGGCCGCAAGGUUGAAACUCAAAUGAAUUGACGG
RNAcentral lists this ribosomal RNA (914 nucleotides) under uncultured bacterium. RNAcentral's name for it is "bacterial SSU rRNA". It matches the Rfam family "Bacterial small subunit ribosomal RNA", at positions 8 to 916 of the family's 1533-position model. The record is from RNAcentral.